AUGGGCGAGGACGAUGCGGCGCCGCCCGUAUCGGAGCCGCCGGCGAGGGACUGGUCGCUGCUGCCCCUUGACACGCUAUCCUCGAUCUUCGUCAGGGUCGGCGCCGUCGACGUCCUCAUGGGCGCUGGCCUCGUGUGCCGCUCGUGGCUCGAGGCGGCGAAGUUGCCAGACGUGUGGCGAGCCGUGGUCAUGGAGAACCACGAUGUCGUGUUCCUAAAGGACGAACUUGUCCUGUGCGCAAUGGCGAAGGCGGCGGUCGACCGUUCCGACGGACAGCUUCGGGUGUUCGCUGGGAAUCAGUUCGUCAACAAUGUGCUCCUCAAGUACAUCUUGGAAAGGUCACCCUCGCUCGCUACCCUUCGGCUCGUAUCAUGCGUUGAAGUCUUCAGCACACGACUCAUCAAUGUGAUAAGAGAUGCACCUUUGCUGGAGCUGCGUUCCCUUGAACUCGACGACACUUUCAUCACCGUCGGAGAGCUGACCGCCGUCCUUGAGAGCUGUCCCCUCCUAGAGGUUCUUCGGGUGCACAAUUGCUUCGAGGUCUACGACGAGGACGAGCAGGUCCUGCGAGCGAAAUUCGCCCGGAUCAAGACCAUGACGCUCGGGUGUGAUGAUGAGUUCCGCUACGGUUCCGAUUACGAGAGCUACGACUCGCACCACGUUCCUGAUUUUGAAGAUGAGAGGACCGACUGAUUCGGGGUGGGCACCGUCGGCGCAGAGCGUCUGGUCAGUGGAGCAUCGCUUGGUUUGGUUGAGGUCCCGGUCCCAGAGAAUCGAUCGAUCGUCGAUGGUCGACGUGGCGCCUCCCCUGUCGGAGCCGCCGGCCAGGGACUGGUCGUGCUGCCCCUCGACGCCAUCGCCUUGAUCUUCGUCAGGCUCGGUGCCGUCGAGGUCCCCAUGGGCGCCGGCCUUGUGUGCCACUCGUGGCUCGAGGCGGCCAAGUUGCCAGAUGUGUGGCGAGCCGUGGACAUGCAGAACCACGAGGUCUUGUUCGAGGAGAACGAAUUUGUCCUCUGCGCAAUGGCGAAAGCGGCUGUGGACCGUUCCGACGGACAGCUCCGGGUGUUCGCCGGGAUGUCCUUCGUCACCGAUGAGCUCCUACAGUAUAUCUUCGAAAGGUCGCCCUCACUGACUACCCUUCGGCUUACAUGGUGCGACGUCUUCCGGACACGACCCAUCAAUGUGAAAGGAGAGUCACCUCUGCUGGAGAUGCGUUCCCUUGAACUCGACGGCGCUUACAUGAACGCGGGAGAACUGACCGACGUCCUUGAGAUAUGCCCGCUCCUCGAGGUUCUUCGGUUGAACGACUGUUUCCAGAUCGACGACGAUGGCGAGCGUGCGCUGCGAGAGAAAUUCGCCAGGAUCAAGGACGUGACGAUCGAGUGGCGUGAUGAAUCCGUGUACACUUCCGAUUACGGGAACGACGACUGCGACAGCGUUCCUGAUUUUGAAGAUGAGUGCAACGAUUACGGAAACUACUACUGCUGCUGCGACUGGGUGGUGGCCCAAGGUCUCAUCUCUUGCAAGACAGACGUCAACCUCGCCUAA
RNAcentral lists this ribosomal RNA (1548 nucleotides) under Triticum aestivum (bread wheat). Its description in RNAcentral is "partial small subunit ribosomal RNA". The record is from RNAcentral. Lineage: Eukaryota; Viridiplantae; Streptophyta; Magnoliopsida; Poales; Poaceae.